CCUACGGGAGGCAGCAGUAAGGAAUAUUGGACAAUGGGCGCAAGCCUGAUCCAGCCAUGCCGCGUGCAGGAUGACGGCCCUAUGGGUUGUAAACUGCUUUUAUACGGGAAAAAACCCCUCUACGUGUAGAGGGCUGAUGGUACCGUAAGAAUAAGGAUCGGCUAACUCCGUGCCAGCAGCCGCGGUAAUACGGAGGAUCCGAGCGUUUUCCGGAUUUAUUGGGUUUAAAGGGUGGGUUGGCGAGUCAGUGGUGAAAUCCUGCAGCUUAACUGUAGAACUGCCAUUGAUACUGCAAGUCUUGAGUACAUAUGAUGUGGGCGGAAUGUGUAGUGUAGCGGUGAAAUGCUUAGAUAUUACACAGAACACCAAUUGCGAAGGCAGCUCACAAAACUGUAACUGACGCUGAGGCACGAAAGCGUGGGGAGUGAACAGGAUUAGAUACCCUAGUAC
RNAcentral lists this ribosomal RNA (450 nucleotides) under uncultured bacterium. Its description in RNAcentral is "partial 16S ribosomal RNA". It matches the Rfam family "Bacterial small subunit ribosomal RNA", at positions 338 to 793 of the family's 1533-position model. The record is from RNAcentral.